RNAcentral lists this ribosomal RNA (407 nucleotides) under uncultured bacterium. RNAcentral describes it as "partial 16S ribosomal RNA". It matches the Rfam family "Bacterial small subunit ribosomal RNA", at positions 30 to 526 of the family's 1533-position model. The record is from RNAcentral.
AUUGAACGCUGGCGGCAGGCCUAACACAUGCAAGUCGAACGGAGUGGCGGACGGGUGAGUAAUUCCUAGGAAUCUGCCUGGUAGUGGGGGAUACCGUCCGGAAACGGUCGCUAAUACCGCAUACUCUCAGAUGAGCCUAGGUCGGAUUAGCUAGUUGGUGGGGUAAAGGACUACCAAGGCGACUAUCCGUAACUGGUCUGAGAGGAUGAUCAGGCACACUGGAACGGAGACACGGGCCAGACUCCUACGGGAGGCAGCAGUGGGGAAGAUUGGACAAUGGGCGAAAGCAUGAUCCAGCCAUGCCGGGUGUGUGAAGAAGGUCUUCGGAUUGUAAAUCACUUUAAGUUGGGAGGCGUUACCAACAGAAUAAGCACCGGCUAACUUCGUGCCAGCAGCCGCGGUAAUAC